AACGAACGCUGGCGGCGUGCCUAACACAUGCAAGUCGAGGGAGAAAAGGGGCUUCGGCUCCCGAGUAAACCGGCGCACGGGUGAGUAACACGUAGGUAACGUACCUUGGAGUCCGGGAUAACCAGUCGAAAGAUUGGCUAAUACCGGAUACGACUGCAGCAGCUCUGGCUGCAGCAGUGAAAGAUGGCCUCUGUUUACAAGCUAUCACUCCUGGAUCGGCCUGCGCACCAUUAGCUAGUUGGUGAGGUAAUGGCUCACCAAGGCUGAGAUGGUUAGCUGGUCUGAGAGGAUGGCCAGCCACACUGGGACUGAGACACGGCCCAGACUCCUACGGGAGCAGCAGUGGGAAUAUUGCGCAAUGGGCGAAAGCCUGACGCAGCGACGCCGC
Molecule: ribosomal RNA, 388 nt
Filed under: uncultured bacterium
Lineage: Bacteria
Description: bacterial SSU rRNA
Rfam family: Bacterial small subunit ribosomal RNA
Source: RNAcentral